GGCGCUAUAGUGUAGUGGUUAUCACUUGGGAUUCUGACCUUUCUGAGUUCCCAAAACCCAGGUUCGAGCCCUGGUAGCGCCU
This 82-nucleotide transfer RNA is filed under the name Trametes cinnabarina. RNAcentral describes it as "Pycnoporus cinnabarinus tRNA". It matches the Rfam family "tRNA". From Rfam's summary of the family: Transfer RNA (tRNA) molecules are approximately 80 nucleotides in length. Lineage: Eukaryota; Fungi; Basidiomycota; Agaricomycetes; Polyporales; Polyporaceae. The record is from Rfam by way of RNAcentral.